Molecule: unclassified non-coding RNA, 271 nt
Filed under: Leotiomycetes sp.
Lineage: Eukaryota; Fungi; Ascomycota; Leotiomycetes
Description: partial contains small subunit ribosomal RNA, internal transcribed spacer 1, and 5.8S ribosomal RNA
Rfam family: Eukaryotic small subunit ribosomal RNA (bases 1-46)
Source: RNAcentral
AAGUCGUAACAAGGUUUCCGUAGGUGAACCUGCGGAAGGAUCAUUAAUCUAUGCCGUCCUGGAAACAGGCCACGGCGUCGGGUCUCGCUUUGAAAAAAAGUGUAGGCUGUCUGAAAACCCUUGAAUAUAAAACUUUGUUGCUUUGGUGGGCCGCCUCUUUUGGCGUUGGCCACGGCUGACAGUGCCUACCAGAGGCCAAAAACUCUAUUGUCUUUGACGUCUGAGUACUAUAUAAUAGUUAAAACUUUCAACAACGGAUCUCUUGGUUCUG